Fundulus heteroclitus (mummichog) is the source of this 685-nucleotide long non-coding RNA. RefSeq lists it as uncharacterized. Lineage: Eukaryota; Metazoa; Chordata; Actinopteri; Cyprinodontiformes; Fundulidae. The transcript has 4 exons. The record is from RefSeq and is a predicted model, not a curated record.
AACCAGAAUGAGGUUUAGGUUUAGCAACUUGAGGUGCAUCCAGCAACAAUUGAGGUAACCUAUUUUGGUCAAGAAGCUUUUUCUGUGCGAGCCAUAAAUAUGACGAAUCUUUGCCUGAGGACUUUAAACUGAUUCCAGACUGGCGAAGUUUCACAUUAACACUGAAGAUGUUUCUUAAAGACAACAGCUUAAAGCUGUUUUCGUCGAGUUCCCUUCGGUCUCCAAGAGCUUAAAGCGGAGAAACAGACGCAGGAUAUAAACAGGUGGCCUGCAGGGACCGAAUACGAGAAAAUCAUCUCUGUUGCUCUGUUAAUGGCAUCUUUCUUGUCGAGGCUCCCGGCUCAUUGGAGGCAGGUUCCAUUAUGGUGGCCACGGGCUGGGAGAGGAGGAAGCACGCGCGCACACACACACACAAAUCCAAUCUGAGCCUUCCUCUAUGUUUGCCUUUCACUUCCAGGCAUUUUCAGUGUCUCUGGAUGACUUACCUCCUCUGGCUCAGCUUCACUUCCCUGCCUCAUCUAAGCACCAAAUAAAUCUUUAAAACCAAAUAAAGACUUAUCAUACAGGCCUCGCUUCUGUCCAUUUUCAUCCAUGACAGGAAGCAUAUAUUUAUUACCGAGAGUGGAACAAACUCAACACAAUUACAGCCCCGUGUCAGCCUGCGAUACUGCGACGCCGAUAACAG